AAAAAAUUUGACAGCUCCGAAAUUUCACGAUCAUCCGACGAAAUCGGGUGCAUACCAAAUCGUCCUAUUUUUACACCGACGACGUCGAUUGUCGUAGGAUACAUAUUUUCUUCGCCAGAUUCAUUGAACGAUUAUAACGUGAGCAAUCGGUUGCCUAUUUCAUCGGUAAAAUAAUCGAUUGAUUGUGUACUUAGUGCUUAUUUUGAUAGAUUCACGAACAGACGAAAUCGAAUCCCCGUGUUCAUAAACAUAGAGUGAAAAAAAAGGAAGGUUCUUCGGUAGUAAGCGAUUAAUAAAGUGUUCAUAGACAUGGCCAGCUUCGUGGAUGGCCACGUACACAAGGGCUAUUUGCAGUUGAAGAGGACCUGAGGGCGCUCAAUGUUCAGGGCGAUUGGAAGCGAUUGGCCCAGGAUCGAGUUCAGUGGAGAAAAAUACUUAAUUCGGCGUAGGUUAAUCGAAGACCUGUAGCCCAUCAAGUAACAAAAUCAUGAAGUUCCUGCGAUGCCACCCGAUUUGAUAAACCAAUUAAUCCCCCUAUUUCGUCGGAUUCCAUUAUUUUCCACAUCGAUGAAUUUAUAGAUUUAAUCUGAUUUGCUUAAUGAUAAAAUAAAAUAAACCGA
Molecule: long non-coding RNA, 620 nt
Organism: Armigeres subalbatus
Lineage: Eukaryota; Metazoa; Arthropoda; Insecta; Diptera; Culicidae
Exons: 4
Source: RefSeq, a predicted model, not a curated record